RNAcentral lists this ribosomal RNA (380 nucleotides) under uncultured eukaryote. Its description in RNAcentral is "partial 18S ribosomal RNA". It matches the Rfam family "Eukaryotic small subunit ribosomal RNA", at positions 592 to 976 of the family's 1831-position model. The record is from RNAcentral.
CAAUAGCGUAUAUUAAAGUUGUUGCGGUUAAAAAGCUCGUAGUUGGAUUUCUGCCGAGGACGACCGGUCCGCCCUCUGGGUGUGUAUCUGGUUUGGCCUGGGCAUCUUCUUGGAGAACGUAGCUGCACUUGACUGUGUGGUGCGGUGUCCAGGACUUUUACUUUGAGGAAAUUAGAGUGUUUCAAGCAGGCACACGCCUUGAAUACAUUAGCAUGGAAUAAUAAGAUAGGACCUCGGUUCUAUUUUGUUGGUUUCUAGAGCUGAGGUAAUGAUUAAUAGGGAUAGUUGGGGGCAUUCGUAUUUAACUGUCAGAGGUGAAAUUCUUGGAUUUGCUAAAGACGGACUACUGCGAAAGCAUUUGCCAAGGAUGUUUUCAUUGA